UCGACUUUCAGUACAUUUUGCUGCUUGGGAGCAUGCGCCGGAGGGACAUCAUUUUUUUCUUGCUUCCUGGUGAACUGAGCACUCGAUACCGGAAUGGGCCACUGAGCAAUGGGCCUGUGCCUUGUUUGCCAAGUCGGUAUUCGGAACAGUUCGCCGAGUUGUAUUCCUGCUGGAACCGCGACAACGUCCUUUUGCUGUGGCCAUCAACGUGUUCUUGCAAUUCUUCGUCAACGUUCGCUGCAGCAGCCAUCGGCGCCCGUCGUGUGAGGUUGUUUUGCCCUGCACGUGUCAACGCAUCUUGGGACUCUGGACCGAUUCACAAUCGGCAUCACUCGACGGGAACAUCAGCUCAGCCAUCUCCUCAUGAAGUCAUACAUACGGCCUGGUAGUGUCACCAUAUGGUGCACUUCGCACAUGCAGCUAUUUCGCUACAGCGGUUCUCGACUAUGCGAAGCCCUCGGGUUGCUCGUCGGAGAUGAGACCUCGGGGAACAGAGAAGGGCUGCGCUGCAACGGCACGAAAAAAAUCGUGAAAAUUGGGGCAUGGUGAACCUCCUAACAUUUCCAAUGGCAUAUACAACUAUGCCUCGCGCGUGGUCCUGGUGUGGUCCUGGCUUUCUCUCGUAGCAGCUUAAACAAGCGUCCUGCAACGGUGGCAGUCUAAUCGCCAUCGAACCGGCUGGUCACGUGCACGGAACUUGACGUGGAUUCGAGGACAGGAAGAACAGACGAGAUGCGAUUUGGACCUGGAAGCAGGAGGACCUAGGCUGGAAUUAGACGUCGUCGUUCUAUUGACCUCAUUAUUUGUCUACUCAUCCUGAUAUGAGCAUCUUUUUACUCCUUCAAUUUAUACGUGCGCUUUCGACGAUUAUCUCUCAUCCCCCUUGCGUCACUUUUGUCUAAGCGUCUGAGGUACUAGAUGCGCCUCUGAGGCAUA
Molecule: long non-coding RNA, 936 nt
Organism: Ornithodoros turicata
Lineage: Eukaryota; Metazoa; Arthropoda; Arachnida; Ixodida; Argasidae
Exons: 5
Source: RefSeq, a predicted model, not a curated record